Molecule: ribosomal RNA, 255 nt
Filed under: uncultured bacterium
Lineage: Bacteria
Description: partial 16S ribosomal RNA
Rfam family: Bacterial small subunit ribosomal RNA
Source: RNAcentral
UACGUAGGGUGCAAGCGUUAAUCGGAAUUACUGGGCGUAAAGCGUGCGCAGGCGGUUAUAUAAGACAGUUGUGAAAUCCCCGGGCUCAACCUGGGAACUGCAUCUGUGACUGUAUAGCUAGAGUACGGUAGAGGGGGAUGGAAUUCCGCGUGUAGCAGUGAAAUGCGUAGAUAUGCGGAGGAACACCGAUGGCGGAAGGCAAUCCCCUGGACCUGUACUGACGCUCAUGCACGAAAGGCGUGGGGAGCAAACAGG